Long non-coding RNA from Mesocricetus auratus (golden hamster), 825 nucleotides. RefSeq lists it as uncharacterized. The transcript has 2 exons. The record is from RefSeq and is a predicted model, not a curated record. Lineage: Eukaryota; Metazoa; Chordata; Mammalia; Rodentia; Cricetidae.
AGAAGGAGGCUGGUGAUGCUGAGAGAGGAGGAAGGGAGAGGACAGUGACGCUGAGCAAGGUGACACUCUUAACUAAAUAGUUCCACUCAGCUAGUGGCCAUGGCUAUGAGAUAUUUAAGUCUGGCAUUGGCCAGGAUGAUCAACCAUCUAUCUAUCUGGGACUCAGGUGAUUUUAUUUCUGAUGUGGCAGGAGUGGUAAGAAGUGAUUGAUGGACAGGGGAUUAAAUCAGUGUUCACAUUCUGAAAGUUUAACCAAGCCUAGAGCCAAAGCAGGUCAGGAGACCUGAUGAGAAGGCCUCAAGGAAAAUUAUCAGGACACGGGGCAUGGAGCCUGGUGGAUUGGUUCUGUAUUCUAGCAAGACUCGACCAACCUCCAGCAAAGUGCCUUGCUCUCCAGGCCUCAGCACCUUCGCCCAUCAGUAUGGAAGUGGUUUUAACAACAGCAUGACCACAACAAUUCCUGGGAUAACUGAACGCUUGGUCCCAGGUUGACGUGAUGGAUACCUGAAGCUGAGGACUCUUGAGAUGCUGCAGCGUGUACCUUAGUCCUCACUGGGAAGUGGUUGCUCCAUGGCUCUGAAGCAAUGAGAACAAAUUCCUUCCUUCAACUCUAGAUAGCAGUGUUAUCUGUGCACAGCACACUUCUGACAUGGCCCUCCAACAAUGACUCUCAGAAGCUGCUGAUGACAAUAUAAUACUGUCAGGACAAUUGAAUGGGCACCUUAACCAGUCCAAUUCCAGAGAGGAGAUCUCAUUUGUCAUCUUAAUCUCUGGGACCUCACAACUUUCGUUGAUCACUGUUAGUAAAUACGAAUGGCAAUUUAA